GGUAUCCAUCUCAGCUCAUAAAGAAUCUUUUUUUAAUUUGAUAAAUUUAUAUAUGAACUUAAAUGUGAUGUUUAUCUCCCUAAUCAGCUCUUAAAGAGAAGUCAAGCUUAGCAUGUUGUAUGUGGAUGACAAUUGCCUUAAAUUGUGUGUGUUUUGCAAUGCAGUUUGCGGGGCUCCUAAGAGGAGAUUUAGGCCAUAUACGCCGGCAGUGACUAGAGGCGCAAAUGACACAGCCGUUCGUAAGGCAAGAAAAGAACAAAUCCAGAGAGAUGAGGCAAUUGGGUAAGACGCUGAAUAAUCUUUCUUCAACACUCUGUAAUUUUGCUUUUCUUCUUUUUUCUUUUUUUUUUUUAGUUUCUGAAUAUGAAAUCUUAAUUUGGUGCAGAAAAGCAUUGCCUAUAGCCAUUGCAGUUGCAGCUGUGGCACUUGCUGGUCUAUACUUUUACCUAAACAGUGCUUUCUAGGAUUCAUAACAGCAACUCUCCCUCUUUGUGGGGAGAACAGCAUUGCUCUUGUAAUUCUAUUUCAUUCAUGGGUUUCCUAUUCACUUGCACUACACUUCUUUUGCGCCCAUACCACAUUGCAAGAGUUGAACUCCUCUUUUUCAUUUAAAAUAAAGCACUCAAUGAUAUCUAUUAUGACAUGCCAAAAAUUUGCAUUUCCUCUAUGGAUUUCCUCCGCGAAGCAAAUGUAAAAAAUUGUAAAUACAUCACAUCAACUUUAAUUUCCCUAUAAUACAACUCAUGCAGAUUACAUGAUCGAAAACCCUCCUCCAAACUGUGUUUAUUAGGUCACUAACUUGCUUCCAAAUUCUAUGGUGAAUAAUGGAUCCGACGGUGCCCUACCAGACACCUAUUUCUCCGGUGCAAGCUGAUUAGUGGUUGAGAUAUUACUCGGCCAAGAUCAGCAUGACAAAGUUGAUAGAGAACAGAAAGGGAUUUCUUGUUUAAUUUACCAGAUAAGUGAAAGUUGUAAAUUUACAUACUUUAGUUACAUGUACCGAGUUAUCAUUCUUGCAAGACAAAGGAUCCUUCAAUUCUCUUCUCAAAGAACUGCUGUGGAGGGAAAUUCAAGGGGGAGAACAUGUCACUAUAACUAGAACUAGGCGCCGGCUUGAAUUCAUAUGGACCUGCCUUCACUCCCCAGACCUAUAAAGAUGAAAUAAAGUGCUAAAUCAAAACCCUUUGUUAUACUAUUAGCAUAUCUCUGGUGAAAGAGAAGCAAAAGAAUGAAAACUAACUUGAUUUCCAUCAUCGUCAAAGCCUCUAUCCCAGGUGUGUAUUUCAUUAUUUUUCAAGACCGCAAGCUCCGAGGUAGAGUAGGUUGCUCCAUUCUGCUAUAGAAACCACAGGGUCAAGAUUGGUCAGAAAAGGGCACAGGAAAAGCAAAAAGCGUCAAUCCACAGCCAGGUUUAUAGUGAACAGCACUUUGCUACUCCGAAAGCAACAUAGGUUGAAUGGAGUAACAGGUAAAUACCUACCCAUGAAUUUGGGAAUCCGCCUGGUGGAGUUGAGCCCUCAUAUAAGCAUCGUUUUCCACGAUCACAGCGUCUGAGAUGUAUAGUUGUCAAAUGUUCCCCAAUGUCCUGUACAUAAUAUAAUAAAGUUGAUUAGCGGAAACCCAUGCAAGUAAAAACUAAGCAUAUCAUCUCUGCCCAAAGAUACAGCUUCAGCCACAAACUAAAAAUGAAAUAUUUCUGCCAAAAGAGGCACGGACAAUGGUAGCCAAGGCAAUAAUCUGCAGACUGCAUCAAUUUAGCACUUAAUUUGCCAACUGAAUACUUCACGGGCUUAACUUUUAAAAACAAGAGCAAUAGAGCAGAUUAAUUUAAUGAGUUGUACUAAUUAAUGUUUACAACCCGAACCAGCGACCAUCAUAGUAUUAAAUUUGAAUGAAAUUGUUGGGGUACCUGAUCUUCAAAGAUUUAGAAUAAAAUUUACUUUAGCAAGUAUCACAUAUUUUUAGCUUUUCUUGUUGAUCAAUGAACUCAUUAGACAUUUCAAGUUGAGAUAAUCUCCAACCAACCACAUUUAUUCUUCCAGUGUAAUGAUAACAGCUCAGGGAAUUAUUAUUGUUCAUUUCUUAUAGUAUUACAUAUUUAAUAACAUUAUUUUCUGGCUGCGGUUCACUUCAUCAACUGUCAUAAAGUCCUCCACAGUUCAAAGACAAACAAAACUUUGAUUAUUCAAGACAUAAUUGUGAAUGGCUAUACCCAAGUCCAACCUGUGCAGGAAAUUCAUACUAUGUCUUCAAAGUUCAAUGCCCAAGCAUAUGACUCAGAUACUCAAUAACUUGAAAAUGAAACAUGACAAGAGGACUCACACCAAUAACUUCUUCAGGUAGCGGGCGCUGAUCCCUAGGACGAUCACAGAAAUUUUUAUAUUCCUCAACUUCUCUAAUCGCAUAUGAACUUACCUGUCCAUUCAAAAUCAAAUAUAAAAUAUUUAAUUAUAGGCUCUAAAGCAACUAAAAAAUGAAACUCAUUGCAAUGCAUUAUAUAAAAGACAAUAAAGGAAAGAAUAGCUGUGCACAGCCGCACAAUGAAUACAAUUUUCCAAAAAUUAUAAAAUCACAUAAAAAAAAUUCAAAAUUGAAUCUAAUGUCCAAAAUCUACUUAUGGCAUCACUUUUAAAAACUGAGUGCAAGUUUGAAUGAUGAUAGUGAAAGCCGUAGAGGCCGUGCUACCAAACAUACAAAACAAUGAUACUGAUAACUAGCAACAACUAGAACAGUUCCAUGUGUAACUGAUAUUUUGUGCGACAUUUAAUCCAAAAGAAUAAAGCACUCCUUAAAUUCUUCAAAAUAUGAAACAAAUAAUAGAUUGCUAACAAGUGAUAUUAAGCAGUCAGUCCCUAGGUCAACAGAAUCUUUAUACUCAACCCCCUUCCUCUGUCUGAUAGUAUAUGGAUGCUUGUCACCAACUCUUUUAAAGUUCAGACUUCCAAUAACACAUGGUGUAAUCAACAUAAAAUGUAGUUUCCAUAUACAGCAUGCUUUAUGUCUCAAAUGUGCAAGCUCUUACUUACAAUGAUAAGAACAAUCAUCACAGGAAUGAUUAGGGGCACCAUGAAAAGUCUCUAAUGCCUCCUCAUACAUGGAAAAGAAAAUCUUCUAGCGGCCGAAAACAAGAAAGAAAUCACAAUGAUGCAAUAUAUAAACAUUAUUUACAGAAUUCAUAAAUAAGAUUAGAAGCCCCACCUCAACGUCGCAUUUCAAUUCUUUUGGGCAAGGCUUCACCAUAUAAAACCUCUGCAAACUACAACCGUCAGAACUUUUAUCAAAGAAAAGUAAUAUUUUGCAAAUAGCACAUUUGAAAUGAUACAGCGCAUAACAAACCUGCCGAAAGGGUUUCUGAGGAGUCCUCCAAAAUGCCUAAUAAGAGAAAAAAGAGAAUCCGCCUUUAAAAAAAAUGGCAGAUUUGAAAAAGCUAUGUAAAACAAUUGAAAAUAGAAGGUAAGAUUUAGUAAGACUAACUUGCUCAAGAUAUAAAAGCUUCGAACCAUCAACCAUUUCAGCUGCCGGGCAAGUAAGCAUUCUGCAAAAACAGCAUCCAUUUCCAUACAAAAUAAAAAUAAAAAUAAAAAAAUAGAAAAAAAAAACAAAUUUAUUGCCAAAAACAAUUCAAUAUUCUAAUGCAUAUACUAAAUGUAUACAAAUAAGCAGAAAUAUGAAAAAAGCACCUGAUGUUGAAGAAAUUAUCAGGAUCUCUCGAUGCCUGUUCUUUCGAAAACUAUUUCACCCACCCGGCCACAACAAUAUAAACAAAUUUAAUAAAUAAUUUUCUUUAAAAUGAGAAAAAAAUGAAGUUGAAAUUGAAAAGAAGACAAGAGAAUGGAAGUAGAAGAAGGAAGCACCUUCUCGCCAGAAAGAGAGUCAGCAACAAUACGGGCAUGGUCCCAGCGAGUCUUGGAUUUGGUGAGUCGUUUGAGGAGAACAGCGCCGCCAAUAAGCACCGCUGCUUUCACGAAGAGACCUUGAGCUCGGCCGCCCCAUCCUCCGUUCGGGUUUGAGGCCGAGUCCGAGUCCGGGCCCAUGUAGCUAGCAGCAACUAAGCAACCAAUUCGUUUUGGUCUCGUCUCACCACCACCACCACAUUCAACAAAUUCGUAUCAACAACAGUCAACGGAGCAGUAUCCAGUUCAAUAAUUCGCCUCUUUUUUUUUUUUUUUGAAUAAUGGGAACAUAAAGAUUUUAUGAUGAUGAAAUUGUCUGAUUUUAAUUGGAGUUUUGGCUCUUGGCGUCUGCUAGUGAAAAAUGUUUUGUGCUGUGAACCGUGUUAAGUUGUCAAGAUUUGACACGUCGCUCACUCUCUAUCGUUCUUCCGUUUUCUUCCGAUUUCCGGUUUCGUCAUCUUUGUUUAAUGGGCCGUAGUUCCUUAUGGACCAUGUAAUGUAUUUUUUUUUUUAAGAAAUAAAAAUUAUUUGUUUAAAUAAAUUAAAAUAUAGUUGAAAAUAAAUAUUCUGUUUUGUCAAGUUUCGUUUGGUGGCUUGAAAUUUGAGAAUAUUGUUAUUGAAAAAUAAAUAUUUAGUAAUCGAUAUGUAUUCUUUUUAAUUAAUAUGAAUUUUUUACAAAUAUUAAAUGAAUAUGUGUUAUGUUUACCUAUUGGAAUGAAAGUGAGGAACGUGGAUUCUUCUUAUUUUAACAUUAUUUAUAUAUUUUAAAAAAUAAAUAUUUAUUAAUUGAUAUGUCCCACUCUUUUUUCGAGUGAGGAGUGAGAUUCUCACUCCCAUAGGGAGAGGUAGCCGGUAGGAGUGGGAAUUCACUACUUCCUAUUUUUUUUACCCUUAUUUUAUUAAAUUUAACAUAAGUAUAUUUAAUAAAAUAAAUAAUAUCAUAUUUAUUUAAAUAAUAUAUUACACUAUUUUAUAGAUUAAAUUUAUUAUAAAUAAUAAUAUUAAAUUUAUUUAAAUAUAAUAGUAUUAUAUUUAGUUAAAAAUAAUAAUUUACGUUAAUUUUAAGUUAAAAUCACUUAAAAUAAUAAUAUUAUAUUUAUUUAAAAUAAUAGAACUAUAUUUAUUUAAUAUUAAUAAUAAAUAAUUUAUUUUAAGAAAACAUUAAUUUUAUACUAUAUUAUUAAUAAUGUUAUUUCAUUUGCGUUGCUCUCUGAUCAAUAAUUUUUAAUUUACAUAUUUAAAAUUAAUAAAAAAUUAUGAUUUACAUAAUUAGGAAUAUUAAUAAUUAUUAUUUACUUACAAAUAUAAUAAAAUAAAUAUUUUAUUUUUCAAAUAUAUUUUUUAAAUAAUUUUAUAAUUAAAAACUAUAAUUAUUUAAAUAAGAAUAAAACUGUAAUUUGAAACUAUUUACUCCCAAUCUAAGACAAAAUAAAUAUAUAAAUUAGAUUCUUAUUUUAAUUUCAUACUCUCAUUCCGGUAUAAGCAAAUAAUUAACUUCUACUCCACACUCUCAAUAUCAGAAUUCUUACUCUCAGAAUUCUCACUCCAAUGUAAAAUAUAAACACUACCUAAAAAAUAGUGAUAUUACUCACCUCAUUUUAUCUCACUAAUCUUGAAAUUACAACAAAGGAUAGAACUUGUGUUUGUAUUUAUAUUCCAUUUAAACCCAGCAACCAUGUACUGAUUCUUGUAUAUCUUAAGAGUCAAUUUUUUCAGAAACGAAACAUUCCAUUCAUUCGAUGGAGGGCAUAGCUAUUGGCAAGCAGUAGAACACAAUCUCAGAUUCUUGAAUUUUUUUUUUUAAAAUUUUUAUUUGUCAAAACAACCCUUUUACUCAUAUAUACUUAUAACAUAUUAUCAGCUUCUACAAAAAAUGAUAAACUUGCAUCUAAGAGGAAAGAGCAUCGACACAAAUCUGAUAUUUUUGACAGAAAAAGAGAGAAGGAUGUUAGUAAAAUGAGGUCUUAUGAGAUAAAAAUGAUAAUUUUAAAAAUAAAUGAGGUAUAAAUGAAAGUGAGGUGUUGUGAGAUAAAAGAAAAUGGGGGUUGAAUACCACUACUACUCAAAUGAUGAAUAUGAGGAGAGUGUGGUAAUCAAUUGAAUGAUGCUACUUCAAAUCUACUUAGUCAAUAAUUAAUUAAUCAUCACAAAUCGUCAGCUGGUCACCACUCACCACAAUACAAUAUUUAGUGAGUGAGUCAUAGCUUUUAAACCAAAUUCCUUUUGGAAAAAACUAGUAGCCACUGCUUAGAAGUUAAAACUCAUAAAAUUUAUUAAAAACUGAGAGAAAAUGAAGAUGAAGCAACAGAUGAAGAUGGAUAAUAAUUACAAUCACACCCUCAUAGAGAGGAGCUAGAAAGCAGAGAAAACCUCUCUAAUCAAUUUCCCAGAAGAAGAAUCAGUAACCACAGAAUUCAGCAACGGCCUUUCCUCCCCCUCAUUCCCAAAACAAUAAACAGGAGCCUGCCAUUUGGGAUCCUCGAGAACUGCUCCCACUUUAAAUGUUAUCACAUCAGCUGUGUACCCUGCAUUUGAAUUCCCACCAUUUUUCAUAAACAAAACUCGUGCUGCAAUCAAAACUUCAAAUGGGCAUUGUUCAAAUUUUCAAAUUACUAGCCAUUAAGGCCUCAGCGAGUCUGCAGAGGGGACUCGAACAUCAUUUUCCCAACUAUUAGUGGGAGCAGAUUUUCGAGUUAAUCGCGGUAUAUUUCUGAAUGGAUUUGUAGUAACUAAUUAAAAAUUAUCUAAUUUAUUUAUUUUACCUGUGUAGAAGACCCAAUGAACAGGUCUCUUAGUGACGACAUCUUCGUAGUACCAAAUGAAAUCAACUUUGGUCCACACAUUACAAAGAAACUUGUCCACGUACUUCUGGCCAAGAUACUCGGCGCCGUCGAGCCAACUGGGGCGGAGGAUGCCGACGGGGAAAUGCAAGACUCUGCAUUCCUUGUUGGCGUCCAGAGUGUAAAUGUAAGAGGUGCCGUUGUCCCAUUCAAGAUCAUACGUGAGCUUGCCGAGCUGGUUCUGGAUUAUGUUGAUGUUGCGGCCGUUGGGCCAGUCGUACCAGAGGUCCACUUUCUGAAGGGUUCCGCUGUUGUUCAUGAACAAGAUUGCGUGGAAUUGAGGCGGCCAUGGAGCUGGAACUGGAGCUGCGUCUGUUGAUUUUGAUGUAAUUAAAAAGAUUUGGAAGGAUAUGGCUAGGUGAAGAAGAAACAAGGAUUUGGGUUUGACUGUUGGGGCCAUUGUUGAUUGAAUGAGAGACAAUUUGAGGAUGAGGAGGAUUCUGGGGUUGAGCUUUUAUGAAAUCCAAAACUUUUGGAUAUUUAUAUUUUUGCCUCAUUCUUUUCCUGUAUUCCUAGUUUUACCAACCACGUUUGACAUUACUUUCAAAAUGCGAGAGAGAGCAAAAUCAAAUAUAUAACAGGGACUUUGAGAGCCAGUUUUCUCACAAUCUCACUAUGUUUUAUUAGUUUUGUUACACAGUCGAGGAGGCCAGCCCCAUCUCUAUCGAUUUCAACAAAUCCAGUUUGUUAUUUGUGUUUGAUAACUAGGGGCGAAAACAGACAAUAAUUACUAGAAAAUACAAUAUUCACUUAUUAUAGAACAACCAAGUUCUUCAAGACCUUGCAGCUUUAAUGAUAGUGUAGAAGUCACUGAUUCCCAGACAGUGGGCUGUCACGGCCUUUCUUGAAAUCAUCCCAUCCUCUUACCCAGGGCUGCCCAGGCUCUGACCGUGUCUCAGGGGAAGCGUAGCUGUUGAGGUUGUUCAUGACCUUGUUGUGCAAGGCAGAAAACACCUAUUGCAAGCAAAAACACAUGAGACGGUAUUUUCAAGGAAAAUGGGGCAAAACUUGUAAAUUAUUUUAGAUAGCGUCUCACAGGAUUUGUUUUCACUGCCUCAGGUGGUUGCUCCUGGCCAGUCAGCCACUUCCACAGAUCUGGGUUUUCCUGCAAAACAGAAAAAAUAUAUUUAAACAAAAAGUAGAUGACUCUGCUGGCUACCUCGUCUACUUGAAUCGACUACUUUUUCCAAUGGAAUCAGAAACUCUUCCCAACUUGACUAAUAACUAUUACAAUGGAGCAAAAAUGAAACAAAAUUUGAAAAUGUUGGCUUUAAAUUUAACAGUUUAAAUCAAAAGAAAUGAAGCAGCUUAGUGGAUGAUCCUAUUAUUCCUCCAUAAAAUAUAGAAAAUAUCUUAUGCAGUCAAUUUCAACAUGGAUAAGAAAAGCAGUGCAAUUCAUCCUGGUAUUAAUGUUCACUUAAUUCCUAGCUUAUCAAAUAGAAUUUUUCAAAACUAAUAGGAACUCUUUAUUAUUAGUAGAAAUACAUAUUGAAAUGAUCAAGUUAAUAAAGAGUUUCUUAGUUAUCAAAACCCAACUACGGCUUAAAACUCAGCAGUACCACCACCGCAACAAAACCAAAUCAACAAUAGUAUAGGCAAUUCAUAAUUGAUAACAUGUAACCUGUCUGACAAAACUUCUUUACAGUCGAACCUCCACUAAAAAGCUAAGCAACCAUGUAAAGAAUUCCACAUCUUUCAGCCACGACUAAUUAAAAUGGCAGGCAGGGACAAAGUUAUCACCUCCAUUGAAAGCUAAACAGAGCAUAAUAAAUUUAUUCUCAAUUUAGCACAAAUGAAUAUAGUCAUUCCAUUCAGAAGAUUAUCAAAUGAUCAAAAGAUCAAAUAAAAAAGGGCUAGAGAAUGAAAAGCAUCAAAAUACACUUAACUUGAUUUGUCUAAACUGAUUUCUAAAUCAUUCCGUGCAUACGAAAAGUCUAUAGUGAAGAAAUUAACAUAUAAUUGUCUCAUGAAAAGAGGGGGAAAAAAAGUAAAAGGUGAUUACCAAAUUAAGGACAUCAACAAGAGCUUUAAUCCCAUUUUUAUCCAUGGAAUGAAUAUGUUCUUCGACCCAUUUACCAAGAACCAAAUCCAGCUCCAGAAACCCUCUCUGCUUACUCCUAUACAAUAGCCUGUUAAACAGACGCUUUUUCUUCUCCUCGUUGGACAAAUCAAUGUCUAAAGAUUGAGUAGUAUUUGAAACCCACCUGUAUUGAGGCCUAAAACGAUUGGAACAGAGAUCAUCAUCACCAUCAGAUAUCAAUUGCAUUGCAAAUAUAAAGAAAAAACAAAAAAAGGGGAAAAAAGAGCAAAUAUUACAAGAAAAAGAAAAGAAAAGAUGACAGGUGGAGAGGGGUUUACCUGAGAAGGGUUUCAAAGGAAGCCGCUGGAGAAGCAGACGCAAUCGAGCUGCGAUUGGCUACUGCGGAGGAUCUGAGAAUACGGUGGACGUUAAUCACUGCUCUUCGUAAGCUCGCCAUGUUCUUGUUGAAUGGUCUCUGAGAAAAAUAAAAUUUUCAGAAAUAACAUACUCGCAAGCAAGCAUGUACCGUAUAUAAAGAAACCAAUUUGUUGGACCGUGGCCCCUUUUUAUCCACAUGGCACUGGUUGUUCGGUACUUUUUUGGAGUUAGCAAUUGGCAUGCUAAUUGCCAUUUGAUUUUGGGCGAAACUUAUGUUACAUUUAAAAAAUUUUAAAUCCUUCGAAAAGAUAAUAAUUAUUAGAAACGUCAAUAAGUUUUUAAGUUUCACUUUAAACCCAGGCUGCAGCCAGGCAAUAGUACUACUAGAAGUUUAAUUUUUUUUUUUAAGUUUUCUAUUUAUAUUUAUAGUAAAUUUAGUACCAAAUUGCUCAAUAAUUCAUUCUAUUUUAUUUAAUUGAAUCUCUAAUUUGUUUAAUCUUAUAUCUAUUGAGUUUUUAUUCAUUUUAUUAAUGAUCUACUAUUUUAAUAGAUCAUGAUCUUCAAUCUUGAAUUCUUUUAUUAGUUGUUUAACUUUAUUAAAUUCUUUCCUCAGUUAAUCUCUUAACUUUUUUAAUUUAUUUUAUAUUUUCUUCAUUGAAAUUAUUAAUUUCUAAUAUUUUCUUUACACUUUUUAUAUCAUUUAUAGAUAAAUUUGGGUUUCUUAAUUUAUUUAAUAAUAUAGUGAUAUUCAAUUUAAUUGAUUAUUUCUCCACGUCUGAAUCAUUGAUCAGAUCAAAUGGUUGAAAUCUUCCAUAGUAAAAUCAUUUUUGCAUAUAGAUAAAAGGUGGUAAUUUAUUAGUUUCUAUAUUUUAUGAAAUUAUUAGAGGUUCUAGUAAUUUAUUCAUUGUACCAUGUUUCUAAUAAUUCAUUAGAUUCAUAAGAUAUUUAUCUCAUGUAAUAUCUCUUAUAAUUCAAGAUACUAAAUUUAGAUUACAAAAUAUAUGUGACAACAUUGAUGAUAUGUACUAGGAUGGGAAAAUAGAUUGAAUGUGUGUGUGUGUUAGAAGAAAAAUCUAGUCUAUAUCUCAACAAAGACAAGAAAUUAUAAAUACAGGUGUACAAAUAUAUUCAAAAUUUGUAGAUCUUUAUGAUUAUAAUAAUCAUUUAGAUCUUUAUAAAAAUCUAGUAAACGCUUUAUAAAGUUUUAAAAAUUUAUGUAGAAGAGAUGGGCGACAAAACCGUUUAAUUAUGCAAAAUCAAUAGGGACUUAUUUGAAAAAAAAAAAGUAAAUAUGUGAUUAAAAAAGAAAUUUUCUGUAAAUUACUAUUACACAUGUACCUCAUUUUACGUUAAAAUUGUUUUCAUCCAUUGGAUUUAAGAAAUAUCAAAAUCAAUGAUUUAUGUGCAUUGAAUGUUUGUUAAAUUGUUUGUAAGAUAAGCUUUGCCUUGAUUUUGAGGCAUCAUGUAGCAAGACAUUAUUUUGAAUUUUGACACAAACCUAGCCAUCUUUAUUUGCUUUUCAGUCUUGCGGACAACCUUUAUUUUCUCAAUUCUCUGUCUGACUCGAAAGCUUUGCUAUUAAUUCAGUAUAAAUUGUUUUAUAGUUAUGGAGUCCCGAUGAUUUUCGAGAAGCUAACAAACUUCCUUCAACUGGCUCCCGAGGGUUCAAUGGAAGACUAAAUUUAGUACAAAUUUGUUCACCGUCGAGCAAUUUGGACUAAAGUUGAAAGAAAUACUCUUCCCAACUAGAGUCAUUGGUAAAUUUUCUGUCUAAUACAUGUUGGCACUUUGUCAUGCUCCUUAUUCGUAAAGUAAAGAAAAAAAUAUUUUCAAUCAUAUGCAAAGUAUAUAUGUUUCCCCUGUAUUUAUCAUCGAUCAAUCUCACCACCUAGAAAACUCAGCAAUACACCAAAGCCAAAACAUAGGCAUGUGGCAUCCAUGGAAGCAAAAAAAAAAACAUCAAAAUCAUGUUGAGGAAACGCUCGUGCUUCGUGCUUCAAAAUAUCAGCAAAACUCUUUAAAAACAAUAAGAAAAGAUUUUGAUGUGAUACAUUAGCCUAAAUAAGAACAUGAAAGACAAAUUAAAUUAGGAGGAGGCCCUCACAAUGUAAUCUACCCAAGUUAUAACUGUUUUAGUCAGAGAGGAGAAUUGCAAGCAUGAAGAAUGCCGUAAACAUAUAUUUCAUUUUGAGGAAUUGCAAAGAAUCUGAUACUCUACAUACUUCUGCAUUUAGCGCUUGAAGUACCAUUCCGUAGAGGUUCAAACAAAAACAUGCACCCAUCACUUUGUCUCCAUCCUAACACCAAUAAUCCACGAAACAAUAUCUUCAUUAAAUAAGGCAGUUUGCAGAAACUCUAAUUUUGCUGUUGCUUUUUGUGGACUAGUUCUCAUCUCCAAUAGUCUUUAGCCCAGUUGCCUCAAAAGCUUAUCUCACGUCUCUCGCCAAAAAAUUUUCCUGUUAUUGCCUGGUCUGGAAGCAGAGCAAGCCAUACACCCGUGUCAGCACCGUCCUCAGCUGAAAUAUUACCAGCCCAACCUGUCAUAGCAGUCUUCACCCAGCCUGGGCAGAAGCAGUUGAUGUAAAUCUUCUCACCAUCAGGGCGGUCAGAGAGUAUCUUCCCCAUUAGUCUUGUAUAAGCAUUAACUGCAAGUUUUGACAUUGAGUAAUCGGUAUAUGUUUGAGGCCAUCCACCAGAUUGCCAAGUGCCAUCUUCAACUUGUUGUAGAAAAGUAUUAACAGUCCUAUCAAUUACUUCCUCAGAGAGAUCGUCCAAAUCACCUAGUUGCUCUCUCAAUGUUAAGUCCCUGAGUCUCUGUAUGAAUGAACCUAAAUUAGCCCUCAGUGUAGAUUGAAGAAUGAGUGGCAAAUGUCUAACCAGUAGAGAUAUGAAAAUACUAUAUCAAGUUAAAUGAUAAGAACAAUAACUGUUUUCCCGUUUAAAAUUGCAGCAAAAGCGGUCCAAGUCCGCCACUUGUCUUCCUUGAUGGCAAGUUUCCAAACAAAAACAGGUUGGAGUCUAUGUGGAACCAAGUGGGCAUCUACCAUCUUUUAAAUUUAAGUAGUUAGUUGAUUAUAUAUAUAUUUUAGAAGAAACAGUGGCAUCUACCAUUAACCACUUGGCAAUGCUUGAACUGAAAACAGUUUAAAGAAUAGCCCAUGGCAAACCCUGCAAUUGCAUGCACCAUUAUCUACAAAGCAUUGCUGACGCCUGAAGCGCUGCAAGUUUUCUAACAAAGCAAACAGAACUAGACCCAAAAGAAGUGUUAAAGAACUUGAAAUCAUGCCAUAAAAGUUACAGAUGCAGAGUAGCCAUCUUCCUUGGAGAAAAUAAACAAAAUGAUACAGAGAUUCAGUAGCAUGGACAAGCUAUGCAGGGACAACAAGGGGCUAUCGGCCCUUAUGGGAUUCUAAAUAUUUUACUUCAUACUGAACCAUAGUUUCUCCUACAAUUAUGGAUUUCUGUUUCCUAGUUGUCCCCUUCUCAAACGAUCUAUAUACACGGUAAGCUUAAAUUAUGCAUGCUCCGUCAUAUAUUUAACACUAGUGUGCAUAUUGCAACUAAUAUUUGGGAUGCAUUACACAAUAAUUUUACAAUAUAUCCAUAGUGCUUGUCACAUUACCUUUGACUUUAUCAAUUGCAUUGCUACCAGAGAUAGUGCAUUAUUAACUAUGAUACUGUAAAGAAUUCAAUUUGAAAUCAAAUUAACAAUCGAUAAUGAAUCACAAUAUGGUCAAAUAAAAAAUAAAGAGAUUCGUACUAGCUUUGAAAUGGGAAAAUAAAUAAUGAAUGAAUGAUUUAGUUUUUUUUUUUAUUAAUUUAUCUUUUAUCAAAUUCUCUUUUAUGUUUAUUACUGUGAGGUUGGCCCUCUGGAAAAAUUCACAGCUCUGGUUCAGAAAUGCAAAAUACAAUAGGAGAGAGGGAAAUAAGAGAGAUUACUCACGUUACGCCUGCCAUUUAGUCUACCGAGCCGAGAGCUCACACUAACAAUACGAGCACCAGCAGCAGAAGGUCGCAUUAACGGGAUCAUAGCUUUAAUCAUAGCUUUGGUGCCAUAAUAAUUGGUUUGAAUAACUUCUUUGGCAAAUUCAACAGAAUUAUCAGAACCAAGAUUGUAAUUGACACCUGCAUUAUUAACCUAAAACAAAAAUGACAUAUUCAUUUCAACAUAAGCGAGUUCAUUUAAUAUAAUUGAAUUGAAGAUGGCGUUACGGGCAAGUUAACACUAACCAGAAUAUCAAUGCCACCAUAUCUUUCACGGAUCCAAUCACAAAACUCUUGGAUUGACGACGAGUCUAAGACAUCAAGUUGAUGAACAUCCACAUUCAAGCCUCCUUCUUGCAAGACCUUAGCAGCCUCGAGGCCAACACUAGUGUCUCUCGACGUCAAUAUAACAGUCAAACCCUGCGCAGCGAGUUGCCUAGCCAUCUCAAACCCAAUUCCCCUGUUAGCACCAGUCACCACCGCAAUAGUUUCCGGGGACCACCAUCUAUUACAAAAUUUCCAAACACACCCAUUAGAGGAAAUUAAACAAUAUUUCAAAUUUUAGUUACAAAAAUAAAAAUGUUGAAAUGGGCACGCACCUCUGGUGAUCGGAAUAGGGAAUGGUGCGGAGGAGGGAAAUUUCUUGGAGUCUCUUUUCUCUUCUUUCCUUUGCUUUUUCAUGUUUUCCAGUCAUUUUUCUUUUUUUUUUUUUGGGUCAAAAAAAAAACUUUGGAGGAUCGAGCGAGAAAGAAGAAAAGAAAAAGAAAAAGAAGGGGAAAAAAACUGAACUCUGGUUUUGGGUAAGAUAAUUGGAGCAGGCUCCCGGCUCAAUAGGGGAUAGUAGAGCCUUUGACACGUUGUUGGUUAAGUGGUUCGAGCUUUAAUUUAGGUCAAAUUUCGCCAUUCUUGGGGAUUUCAGUUUCACUUCCGCCUUUGUAGCCUCUCCAAAGUGGGAUGCUGUUGCUAUCAUUCUUCUUUUGUUUUUGCGCGACGUGUUUAUGCGGGUCAUUUGGCAUUUUCUAAUUUGUUUGUAGCUUGUGUAAACUUUUCACACCGUUAUCACUUGUUAUUAAUAUGAAGUGUAAACUUGUGUGGACGCACCAUCUCACUACGAUGCCUUAGUGUGCAAGAUUUAUAGAAUUUUAUAGUUAGGACUUGCAAUUUCUUUAAUUUUAAAUGUUAGGAAUCACAGGGUAUUUAAUUCUUGAGAAUUACAUUUUAAGGUCUACCAAGCUUAUUAAAUCAUAGAUCUUAAUUAAUCAAUAUAUUAUCUCAACAUGCUAGAGGAGAGAAGAAAUUUUAAGAGAAAUUCUAAAAUAACUCAGAUGUAUUACGAUCAAUAAAUGCAUGCAUGACAUAUGUAGUUAAAUUUAAUACAAUCAUCACUUAUAUGAUGGUUUUUAAAAAUAAAUACACACAUGUCAUGACAUUAUUUAUUUGUUGUAUGAUUGACAUGGUACCUUAGAUAUAUUGUAGAAUUUCUCAAAUUUUAGAAUACAUCAAAAGUGUCAUAUCAGUUAUACAAUAAAUAAAUUAUGUUAUGAUAUAUGUGUGUGUAAUGUAAAAAGCCAUCAUACAAAUAAUAAUUGUUUUAAAUCUAAAAAUAUAUGUCAUACAUACAUUAAUUGAUUGUAUUAAUUCCGAUGUAUUAUAAAAUUUGUCUAAAGUGAGAAUACUUACAUUUGCGCAAUUAUAGAAAGCAGAGUUCUUACUUAGCUGUUGGAACUCAAAGACACAGACACUCUCAACUUUUGUUAUGAGGGUGGGUUAGAGCGCAAUGGCGUAAGUGGACAAUCAACUAACUUUGGCAUCAAGAUUCAAGAGUAAUGACAUGGGGGCUUAGUGUAAAUAUACAAUGAAGGAGGCACUAUACAGGCUGUCAAUGAAUAAUGGGAAGAUGAAAUUUACUUAUAGAGUUUUACUAUUGGCACCUUUAAAUAUCUUUUGAAACCCCUUUUCUUUAUCUAUCCCAUUAUAAUUAUUUGAAAAUUAUAAAACUCUUAUGGCACAGUUUUAGUUCCAAAAAUAACCUUUAUUUCUUAUUGAGUUUACACCCCCUUCUUUCUCUUCACAUCUUGCUCCCCUCCCCCCCCCACCCCCUCCGGCUCAACUCUUUUUUACGGUGAUGAACAAAUUGGACUUUAUGACCAUAAUACUAUAAUUACCAAAAAAAAAAAAAGAUUCAAUGAGAAUGAUGCAAUUGAUCGGUACUCUUGAUUUUUUUUUUUUUUUGGCUUUUUUAAGUAAACUUGAAAGUUUCAUUACUGACCAUAAUAGCAAUACGAAAGAAAUUAAAAGUAGAAUGUUGCCGAAUUUCUUUUUGUAAUCAUUUUAUUUUUCUAAAUUAAUUCGGAUGGGGAAGGAGGCAAAUCGGAGAGAACAAUAAAAAUCAUUAGCUUUGAAAAAAUCUAUCGAUUUACUGCUGGAUGCCAUGCCUUUUGAAGCCUCCACAACAUUAAAUCUUUUUUACAGUAUCAAAGUUCAUAUUUUGUGCUUUAAUUGUCGUUGUUUGUGGAAGUGAUUUCACAUCACCCCCUUCAUUUCUCCUUUGUAAAUCCACCUCCUGUCUUUACGUGAUUUUGUGGAAUCAAAAUCUGUUUCUUUUUUUCCUUUUUCACAUUUAAAUAAGGUCAUGAAUACUUUGGAGUUACUCUAAGUUAAAACACAAAUUAUAGCCGCACACGCAAAAUAAUAAAUAAUGAAAAAUACGUUAUAAUUUUGAUCGUGUGGUUAUGAAAGAAUGCUUUACCUUUGGAACGGUUCCAACAUAGCUGGAUCCACAUGUAAUAACUGCAUAGUCUACGGUAAAUUCUUAUUUGUCAAAGAAGGGAGUUGAAUGAUGAAAUGAGAAUAAAUUUAUCAUUUUAUGUAAUCUUAUGAAGUGAUGAACUUGUAUGUAAUGCAGGUUUUAAAUUGGACGCUAGAGGUGUGUCAAUAGCGCCGCCCUUGCCCAUGUAAUUUCAAAUCAAUUAACAGCACAGAGUACAAACAUGUAGGGUUGGUGAAAAAGAGCCAAAUUAGGGUGUUCUAUCUAGCCUAUUUUAGGGUGUUGUGUUCUAAGGCCGGGCUGUAUAUGUGUUGGCCCGCUUGGAGAGUCCCAAUCUCCCAGACCCGGGCUUCAAUCAGAAAGAUUGAGCAUGGGCUGACUCUUGGACGUUAACUUUUUAACACCCUUCCAAAAUUCUAAUAGCACCCCUUUAGUUGCAAACGAGUUAUUCUUUUAGGAAAUUCAUUUUUAGGCAACUGUAAGUUAAAUUACUUUUCCGGCUGCCUUCACUUUAUUCAAUAAAUAACAGUGCAAAGAAUUAAUAAAAAGUCUACAGCAAACAUAUAGACCAAAUUUACAUUUAAUUCAAUGCUGGAGCUGGACAAUUGGAUAAACCAAUGAAGUUUAAGUACGGUUCAUAUCUACAUGUCCCAUCCGAUGAAUAUUUAAGUACGGUCCAUAUCUGGGGCCAUGUAUUAAUAGGUCUCCUUCUAUCUAAUGAAUUUUUUUGAAUUUUUUUUUUCUAAAUAGGGGAGCGAGAAAAGAACGACCUCGCAUAAGAUAAAUGAAAGAACAAUCAAGAAUCAUCAUUCCAUUAUCCAAUUUUUCUUGCCGUAGCCAGAACGCUUGACUAAGUAGCGACAUAAGAUAAAUGGAAGAACGAUCAAGCUGAUAUGGCUAUUUUGUCAUUAUUGCUUUUCUUGACUAUCACAUUUAUGUCGAUGCUCCAACUUUCAAUUUCUUCAACAUUUAGCUUUUCUAGAAGCAACAGUACAUACUCUACUGAUGCGACAAAAGGAUUAAAAAAAAAAAAUGCUCGUUGCGUCACUGCUUAGGCCAUUCUAAAUCUUCAGUUCUCUGUCUGAAGUCUAUCACUUGGUGCAAAAUAGUUAAAUUUUCACCAUUUAGACUAGGGAUGGCAAUGGGCACCGUCCGCAGCGGGUUUGCCAUUACCAAACCCAAAUCCGCAUAAAAUUUAAAUUACCAACCCCACCCGCAACCCGCAGCGGAUUUUAAUUUUUUUACAAAAACCCACCCGCAGCGGGUUUUAACAAUUACUAAACCCGCAAUGGUAUCCGACGGAUUUUUUGCGGGUUUCCGUAUUUAAAAUCACAAAUGUUUAAUAUAUAAAUUUAUAAUCAUAACUUUAAAUUUCAUAUAACAUACUCAAUUUUAUAUUUAAAUAAUGUAAAUGAAAAAUUAAAAUUUCCACAUCAAUUCAACAUAAAUUCUCAAAUUUAAGUAUAAAUUACACAAAUCCAUUUAAAAAACACAAACUAGUAUCUAAAAAUAAUAAUUACAUUUCAUAUUAUCAUUUAAAACAAGCUCCAAGAGAAGAUAUUCAUUUCAUUCACCACCAUAAGCACCCAUCCAACACAAUGCUUAUAAUAAUAAUUAAGAUUAAUAUUUUCAAAUACUAAUUCGAAGGAAAAUACAUUUAGUUUUCUUUAGAUUAUGACUUUAGAAUAGGAUAUAGGCCACAUACACACAUAAACAACUUUGAGCCUUUGGCUAUUUGGUAAUUUAAUUAAUGACAUUAUUUUCUUUAUACAUUUUUAGAUUAAAAUUAAAUUAAAAAUAUUUGAAAAAAAUAUUACGGGUUUGGUGGAUAUCCAUGCGGGUAUCCACCGGAUAUAAGGUUAAUACCAAACCCACCCGCAUCCAUGUGCGGGUUUUAAUUUAUAAUACUAAACCCGCCCGCAACGGGUAAAAUUAUCCGUAACGGACGGGUUUAGACGGGUUUGCGGGUACAAUUGCCAUCCCUAAUUUAGACCAUACGAUAAUCGGACACGUGGAUGAUCCUGUGACUACCACAUUUUUCCAAGUCACGUAGCGGGCCAUUUAUAUUAGUUAAUUCAUUUGUGAAUGUAAUGAGAAAGAACUAAGGCGACGCACACUAGCAGGAGCUGAAACUUUCAGUCUUUCACUGUCUGAAAAGGCCGUUGACCAUUCAAUCUGCGUACGUUCUUUGUUCUCAAAUUUUAUCGUUUGUUUUCAUUUUUCGUUCAUGUCAAGUUUCUGUAUUUUUAUACGAUUAAAUGAUCACUCAUUCGCAGGUUUUGCUUUUACCUGACGCUUUUCAAUAGUUUUAUGCACUCUAGUAUUUGCGAUAUAUCUUUCUGCUGGUGCUUGAUGACCCAAGUUGCAUGUGAACGGAUUAGAUAUUCAUUUUAGUUUGUUAAUCAGUCAAAUAUCGUAGGCCCCCUCUGUUAUUACCGCGGUGAUUGCUAGGAACAGUUGAGAGUCUUUUCAAACUUUUCCAAGCAUGUGUCAAAAUAGAUUGAGCUUGUACGUGAGAUAGCUGGAUUUUAUUUGCUUACAAACCUUUUUUGGGAUUAUUUAAAAAUUACAAUUACUGACCUGGUUUCGGAUAUACGAGAGUUGUUUGCUGUUAUCCAAUUUAUUUUGGUUGGAGCACGUUUUAACUGACACAAAGCCGGAAAUACCAGUUCAAUCUCAGUAACCUCUAUAAUUUGUCUCAAAUACGUUGUGUUUAGUUAUUUAUGUUCUUGGAUUUCCAGUUCAUUUAUGGCUUAACUGAUAUAAGAAAGCUGACAGGGAUAUGAGAAAUUUUUCUCAAGGAUGGAAGAUUCUGGUAGCCAUUUUUCUGUUGGGAUUAAGCUUUCCAUACUCACAAGGUUAUAAUGUCAAAUCUAAAGUCUUUUUGUCACCUAAGUUUGUGCUGGGGCCAGGAUCCGUUGAUAAUAAAUUUUACUAUGGGAUUGACUUUCCGAGAGGUCAUAUUGCUCUAAAGAGUUUUAAUGCAGAAGUAAUUGAUGAGGCAGGAUAUCCCGUUCCUCUUCACGAGACUUAUCUCCACCAUUGGGUCGUUGAAAGAUACUAUGGACGUAAAGAUGCAGAAGUACUGGAGUAUAAUGGCAACAGACUUCUUCGUGAAUCAGAUUACAUUUCAGCGAGAAAUGAUGGCAUAUGCCAGAGGAAUUGUCUUGGGCAGUUUUUUGGCCUUGGCUCUGAGACACGAGGAACAGCAACUCAUAUUCCAGAUCCUUAUGGUAUAGAAAUUGGCAAUCCUGCUACAAUUCCUGCAGGCUAUGAAGAGAGAUGGGUUCUUAAUGUCCAUGCAAUUGAUACACGAGGUGUCGAAGAUAGGUUGGGAUGCACUGAAUGCAAGUGCGAUUUGUACAAUGUUACAGUGGAUGAGUAUGGCCAGCUGCUAAGGCCAAAUUACAGAGGUGGUUUUGCGUGUUGUUACGAUGGUACUCAGUGUAGAGUGAAAAAUGGUUUUGAAGGUGCCAGGAGGAGCCUCUAUUUGAGAUAUACCGUAAAGUGGGUUGAUUGGGACACUUCCAUUGUGCCUGUUAAAAUCUACAUAUUUGAUGUCACUGACAAUGAAACACGGUUUAGUGAUUCCACUAGAUUCAGCAUACAGCAUCAUUGCCAGGUAAGUGAAAUUCUUUUUACAAAACUCUCCAAGCUGAAACAGAAAUUAAUUUUAUUUGGGACGUUCAGUGGAAUAGCCUUGGCAUUACUUUCUUCAUCUUUUAUGGUUCAUUGAACUAGGUUGUUAUAUAAUCAUUUAAUGCUUGUUUUGGUGCAUUACUGGAAAAAUGGAAUUGACUCACUGAUGCAAUGAACACAAAGUUGGAAUCUGCAUAAAGCUAAUCGUAAUUUUCUGGAAAAAUUUCUUCGGGCUUAGAGUCCUCUUUGACGGCAUACUAUAUGUGUGUAUGAAAUGACUUGCGUUGAAGAUAUUUUUUGUUUAAUGUGGAGGAGUUUUUAUUAAAUGUGCACAAAUUUAUAGACAUUCAAGAGCACAUAAGCACAAACACUUACUUCAGCCCUUAAAUUUGAUAAUCAAUAGUGUAAACGUUUUGAUUUGUGAUUUUCUUGCAACUCUUAGUGACUUAAUUUCUUCACAAUGGUGGACCCAUCGGAAUAUCUCUGAUUGCAGAUUGAAUAUUCUGUUGAGCCCUGUAAAGCCAGUGAUGUGGCUGAUAAUGGGUGUGUCCACACCAAAAGGACCAGUGUCACGAUGCCAACCAGUGGUUACAUCAUCUAUGGCGUUGCCCAUCAGCACUCAGGGGGCAUUGGUGCAGCUCUAUACAGAGAGGUGAAUUCAAUAUCUAAUUUGCAUUCACGUGGCAUGCCUUUUCUUUUGUCUGUGUUCUACUUUCCAUUUUAAUUUUAUCAUUCUUAUCUGCUAGGUUGGUGGUAAACUGGUGAUAUAUGAAGACGUGUACUAGUUCUUGAUCUUUUUAAUUUUCUUGUUAGAUUAUGCUUUGAAAGUUAUUGUUUCUUUAACUGCAAAAGAAUUGUCAGAAUGUUUUAAGAUUAUGUAAAUGUUUACAACAUUAAUUAGAUGUUGAGGACGUGUGAGUGUGACAUUAUCAUAUUUCCAAAGUAGACUAUUUUUUAGCUUCUAGCUGCUUGAUUUGUUUGUCAUCCUCAAAGUUUCGAUAACAUUGAUGUUUUAUAUAUAGUGUUAUGGUCCCUGAAAUUGGCUGGAUGUUUUCCCUUUUUCUUUUGAAGAACAAUUCUUCAUUAUUCAUUUUAUGUAAUUUUUUCAGAACCCAGUGUGAUGAUUGUGGAAGGAAUUUGAUUCCCUAUGUCUUCUUUCAUUGAUAUGCUUGUUUUUGGUGAAAUCAGGAUGGACAACUUAUGUGCUCUUCAAUUCCAGCUUAUGGAAAUGGGAAGGAAGCUGGAAACGAGGCUGGAUAUAUUGUAGGAAUGUCGACCUGUUAUCCUAAACCAGGCUUCCUCAGGAUAACAGAUAAGGAAACUCUGAUUGUGGAAUCUAACUACAGCAGCUCCCGCGAUCACACAGGAGUUAUGGGGCUUUUCUACAUUUUGGUUGCAGACAGGGUGCCUGAGUCCAGUUCAUUCUUAGAUGUUUUCAGCAAGGUAAGAUUCCCUUUUCAUAUUUUUAGAUAGUGAGUUCGGCAAUACAAUUUAUUAUGCUUGUGAGCACAUGCGAAGAUACCGGAGAGCAAAAAACUUAUUCUAGAAUUGAGGAGGAAUAUUGUCUUACCUCUUUGAUUAUCGAAAUGGUAUAGAGAAUGGAUUAUAGACGGUCGUUUUGAUUAGUGUUGAUGAGAAGAUUAUUAUUUGCUGGAGUAGAAACUGUUUAAUAUGAUUCUUAGGCGAUAAUAGAACUAUAAUCCUCUUCUUGAUUUUAGCAAGAAACACCAAGCCUCUGAUAAGUGAUAACUGCAUGGUUUUUGCAGAUGUACAAUGAUAUAAACCAUUCUGCUUUUGUUUGGGGAGCAUUUGUUUUAGCUGGAGUUGCUGUCAUUGCUGCCGCUGUGGGUUACAGGCGUAGGAAUAAGUACGAAGAUGGAUACCAACCAAUUAUGAUCUGAACUUGUUCUUAUGAGGCUUAGCCAUGUGUAUUAGACAGAAAUAAUGUUAGCUCUGUACCAUAUGUUAUUGAAACUCUCGUUUCCCUUUGCUAGACGAGUGUGAAUAAACCCGGGCGACUCACAGUCUGCUGUGGACCAAUGUGGGUUAUGGUCUAGCCCAAUAUUAAUGCCAUUACUGUUGUUAGUAAUUGGAACUGUGUGAUUUAUGUGAUCCUUUGUUGGACUUUUAUGUCCAUUUCUUUCAUUUUCUCUACGACUCCUGUAGCUGGUUGUGUUCAACACUAUGUUGACAUUUGUAAGGGACCUGUCCUAAGUUGAGAAAAUGCAAAGCAUUAUUGGGUCGCUAUUUCCUGUGGCAGCUGCCAAGUUUGAGUAUCUUCGCCUUAGAGGAACCACAUAUGUUACUUUUUUUUAUAAAAAAAAAAAAUUAUUUCAUGUUUUUAUUCUGCAUGUGUGUUAUUUAAUAAUAAUCGUUGAAAGAACUGUUUUAAAUAUUUUACUUCAUCAUAGUUUCUCCUACAAUUAUGGAUCUCUGUUUCCUAGUUUUCCCCUUCUCAAACGAUCUAUAUACACGGUAAGCUUAAAGUAUGCAUGCUUCGUCAUAUAUUUAACACAAGUGUGCAUAUUGCAACUAAUAUUUUGGGAUGCAUCACACAAUAAUUUUACAAUAUAUCCAUAGUGCUUUGUGACAUUACCUUUGACUUUUAUCAAUUGCAUUGCUACCAGAGAUAGUGCAUUAUUAACUAUGAUACUGUAAAGAAUUCAAUUUGAAAUCAAAUUAACAAUCGACAAUGAAUCAUAAUAUGGUCAAAUAAAAAAUAAAGAGAUACGUACUAGCUUUGAAAUGGGAAAAUAAAUCAUGAACGAAUGAUUUAGUUUUUUUUUUUUUAAAUUUUUCUUUCCUCUCUCUUUCUCUUCCACUAUGAGUUCUCUCCGUCGUCAACUCUUUUUAUGGUGAUGAACAAAUUGGACUUUAUGACCAUAACAUUAUAAUUACAAAUAAUAAUAAUAAUAAUAAUAAUAAUAAUAAUAAUAAAUAAGAUUCAAUGAGAAUGAUGCAAUUGAUUGGUAUUCUUGAUUAUUAUUAUUAUUAUUAUUUUUUGCUUCUUUAACUAAACUUAAAAGUUUCAUUACUAACCACAACAACAAUAUGAAAGAAAUUAGAAUGUUGCGGAAUUUCUUUUUUGUAAUUGUUUUAUUUUUCUAAAUUAAUUCGGAUGGGGACGAAGGCAAAUGGAAGAGAACAAUAAAAAUCAUUGGCUCUGAAAAUAUUUUUCUGUAGGAUGCCCUGCCUUCUGAAACCUCCUCAACGUUAAAUCUUUUUUUUGUUUUUAUAGUAUCAGAGUUCAGAUUUUGUGCUUUAAUUGCCGUUGCUUUGUGGAAGUCAUUUCUCCUUCGCAUAUCCACCUCCUGCCUUCAAGUGAUUUUUGUGGGACCAAAAUCUUUUUCCUUUUUCACAUUUAAUAUAAUAACUGCAUGGUCUGUUGUAAAUUUUUAAUUGUCGAAGAAGGGAGUUGAAUGAUGAAAUGAGAAUAAAUUUAUCAUUUAUGUAAUCUUAUGAAGUGAUGAACUUGUACCAUUGUAUGUAAUUGGGGUUUUAAAUUGGAUAUUAGCACCACCCUCAUGUGCUUACAGAUUAAUUAACAGCACAAACACGUGGGCUUGGUGAAAAAGAGCAUAAGCUAGGUCUAGCUUAUUUGAGGGUGUUCUUAGGCCGGGCUUCACAUGUGUUGGCCCGCUUGGACCCAGACCUGGGCUUCAAUCAGAAAGCCUGAGCAUGGCCUGACUCUCGGACGUUAAAUUUUUAACACCCCUGUAAAAUUCUAAUAGCGCCUCUUCAGUUACAAACUGGUUAUUCUUUUAGGAAAUUUAUUUAAAACCAAAUUACUAAAUAAAAAGUCAAUAAAUAACUGUAAGUUAAAUUACUUGACCGUAGGGAUGGCAAAAUAAUCUAGGCCCGGUUUGGAUCCGGAUGAUCCGGGCCGGGUUCAACCUGUACCGCAUUUAAAUAAUAUGUGGGUUUGGUAUUAAUUUUUUAAAACCCGGACAUAUCCAGGUUUAGUUCCGGGUUCAACUGAACCAGUAUGUCCGGAACCCAGACCCGGAUAUAUUUAUAUUCAAUAUACGUAUAAAAAAAAUGUAUGGAAAAAGAACAAAACCCUAGUUUGCACUUUUGGCUUUUAACUCAAACCGGCCACCACCAUUUCAUCUCUUUUUCAUCUCCCAAAAAUUCAUCAAUUCACAGCCACCACCAUUUCCUCUCAUUUUCAUCUCCCAAACUCACCAAUUUAAAUCAUCAUCAUCAAAUCAUUAUCAAUCAUCAUCAAAGGCUUGAAUUCUCAAUAUCUCCUAAACUCAUUCACGGUCACGGCUGGCAACAGAAUAUCAUGCACACGAAGUGACGAAUUGGGAUUCAUGGACGUAGACGAAGCAAUGACCAACUAUACAAAUUUACUGGAUUUUCAUUCCCUGUCGCCAUUUGUGUUCUAUUUUACUAUUAGUUUAGCUUUUGUUUGAUGAUGACAAGCUGACAAUCACAAAAUUUGGGUUUUGUUUUGCAUUUUUGCUUCAUUGUUUUGUUAUAUUCUUUAAUCAAUUUCUUCUGUUUGAUUUAAAUAUUAUUCCUAUUUUCGCAUUGAAGCAAUCAGUGAUGGAAAAAAGUUGCAAGUUCAACACUCAGUGCCUUACCUCUGUUUUUACAUUCUGAAACAAGCCUAAAAAUGGUGCCCAUCUGGGUUCAAAACCCGGAAUCCGAAAACCUGGAUUUUUCUGGGUUGAACCCGGACCCGGACCCAGGUGAAAAAAUCCGGGUUAAAACCCGGGUCCGGGAGAAGAAAAUGGCAUUCGGGUCCGAAAUCGGGAAGGCUAAACCCGAACCUGGACUCGAAUUUUGCCAUCCCUACUUGACUGGUUGCUUUCACUUUAUUCAAUAAAUAAUUGAGUAGAGCAGGGGCGCAUCUAGGAUUUUAAAGUAUCCCCGGUUAAAUUUUUUUUUUAAAGUUAUAUUAUAAAGAAAACAUAAAAUUUUAUAAAAAAAUAAAAUACACAUAAUAAGAUGAGAAUAUUAGAAAUCUUACACCAAAUAAUAAUUACUUUAAACAAAAUAAUUUUAUAAAAAUGUAAUUCAAAAUAAAAAUAUAACUAAAAUUUUAUUUUUCGCAGCUUCAAACAAUAGAAUUCAUCAAUUAUGGAUUUUGAAUCAAUAGUAUCUGACUACUUGGUAGCUACUAUUGAGGUUUUUAACCGCAACCUAUUCUCUAAGGGCUCAUUUGGUUUAAGUAUAAAAUGAUGAGAUUGGACAAUUUUAGGAUAAAAUUAUCCUAAUGCAGUGUUCGGUAACCAAAAAUAAUUGUGGGAUAAAAUUAGUGGAGCCCACCAUUUAGUCCAAACAAUGUCAAAAUUUUAUCACAAGGGGGAGUGUGGGAUAAGCUAAAACUUAGCCAUAGGAUAAGAAAAAAAAAAGCCCAAAAUUCCUCUCUAUCCCUCUCAUAAUUCCUGUUAUGUUUAUAAUGAUAUUAUUUAGUAAAAUAUAAGUUUAAAACUAUAACAUGUUAAAUAUAAAAAAUUAAGGGAAGAAUUUGUAUUUUUUAACAAAUUUACCAAUAAUUACUAAUUUAAUUUAGAUUAUAUUUCAUGUCAUUUUAAAAUAAAUCUAAAGUAAUUUUGAUAAAUUAAUAUAUAUGACAUAUUAUUAGUUACUAGUCAAUCUCAUGUCAUACCAAACAUAAGGCAUGAUUAUUUAUAGUCCAAUCCAACAUUGCACCAAACAUAAUAUAGUAUUAUAUAUAAUCUAGUGUUAUCCAAUUCAAUCAUAUCUUAUCUAAUUCGAUCCGAUCCAAUCCAAUCCAAUCCGGCAUACCAAAUGAGCCCUAAAACAUUGUUGUGAAGAUUGUGCAUUUAUUUAUUUUUUUAUCAAUAUGUUUAAAUGGGUCCUUUAACUUGCUUCAUCUACUACUUGGAUUUAUUGGACAUUAUAGCCUAUAAAAUACCAUAACAUGAAACUAAAGAAGAAUUAAUAAAUUAAUUAAUAAUUACAAGCUUAAUUAGCAUGCUUAAAUAAAUUAAACAAUUCAAUUUUGUUAAUCUUUUAUAUUUAAAAAAAAUAUUAUUAGUGAAAAAAUAACAAUAAUAAAUCAACUCAAACUAAUAAAUCACAAAACUAAUUAAAAAAAGCCAAUCAAAAUAAUAAAUUAAAAUAAUAUAUAAAAUAAAUCAAUAAAAUCUAACUAAGAAAAAUAAAUAAUUUAUGCAAGUUCUAAAAGUAUAGUAACAUAUCAAUAGAAAAAUUUACAGAUUGCAAAGAAAUCGGAAGAUAUGAACGGAUGAUGAAUUAUGAUUUGUGAAGCAAUGAAGGUGAAUUGACGAAGAAUGAAGAAUCGGGAAGGGUUUGGAAAUUUUUUUGUUUUUUCUAAUGGUGUCGGUGGAAGUAAAGGAAAAAUAAUAAUGAUAUUUUUUUUGUUUUUCUUCUAAUGGUGCCUGUGGAAGUAAUGAUGAUGGAUGGUGUUUUGUAAUGAACAAUCAAUGGUAUUUUUGUUAUUAAUAAUUAAUGAUAUUUUCAUAAUUUUAAUUAAACUAACUUUUUUUUUUUUUUUACAUCGGACUGCAGCCCCGUACGGCCGACUAACAGAUCCACCCCGGUGGAGAGAAUUAAUAAAAAGUCUAGACUAAAUUUACAUUUAAUUCAAUGGUGGAGCUGGACAAUUGGAUAAACCAAUAAAGUUUUCAUUAACGAACAUGAAGGAAGGCCAUUCGGUGUACUGCAGCUUUGAUCCUGUUUGAGUAAAUGCAUUUCAGUAAAGAUGGCUUCUUGCGGUACAGUUGAGUGUCAACGCUUUCCUUGGAGUCCGGUAAUAACCUUAGCUUUCUUGAUCUACAAAUUUAGGAUUUUUCCUUUGCAAAAUAUUUAAUAUUACAUAUCUACGUGUCCCAUCCGAUGAAUAUUUAAGUACGGCUCAUAUCUCGGGCCAUGUAUUAACAGGUCUCCUCCUCUCUAAUGAACUUUUUUGAUUUUUUUUUUAAUUUUUUAAGUAGGGGAGUAAGUAAUUAAUAAAUUUAGGGUGUGUUUAUUUAAGGGUUUAAGAGAUUAGAAUGAAGGAAUGUGAAUAAAACUCAUGUUUACUUGAUCAAAAUGUAAUUUAAAAAUGAAAAUAAAAUAUGUGGGUCCCAUACAAUUUGAAUAUAAAGAAUGAGAAUUUCAUUCACAUGGGGGUUGUGAAUGAAAAUAAAGAAAUAAAAAUAAAACAUGAGUUUACUUUUAUAUCCCUUUAAUUUUUUUUUAUUUUUUUUAAAUUACCCUCAUUCAAAUCACAAUUAAUUUUUAUUAUUUUAAAUAUUAUUAUUAUUAUUAAAUUUUAAACUUUAUUAUUUUAGUUAUUAUUAAUUAUUGUUAUUAUUAUUUUUAUUAAUAUUAUCAUUAUUAACAAUUAUUAUUAUUAUUAUUAUCAUCAUCAUCAUCAUCAUCAAAAUUUAUUAAUUUUAUUAUUUUAAAUGUCAUUAUUAUUAUUAUUAAUUUUAUUAUUUUAGUUAUUAUUAAUUAUUUUAGUUUUUAUUUUAUUAAUAUUAUCAUUAUUAACAAUUAUUAUUAUCAAAAUUUAUUAAAUUUAUUAUUUUAAAUGUCAUUAUUAUUAUUAUUAUUGACUUUAUUAUUUUAGUUAUUAUUAAUUAUUGUUAUUUUUAUUUUUAUUAAAUUAUCAUUAUUAACAUUUAUUAUUAUUAUUAUCGUUAUUAUCAAAAUUUAUUUAAUUUAUUAUUUUAAAUGUCUUUAUUAUUAUUAUUGACUUUAUUAUUUUAGUUAUUAUUAUUAUCAUUAUUAUUAUCAAAAUUUAUUAAAUUUAUUAUUUUAAAUGUCAUUAUAUUAUUAUUAUUGACUAUAUUAUUUUAGUUAUUAUUAAUUAUUUUAUUAUUAUUAUCAUUAUUAACAAUUUUUUAUUAUUAUUAUUAUUAUUAUUAUUAUUAUUAUUAUUAUCAAAAUUUAUUAAAUAUAUUAUUUUAAAUAUCAUUAUUAUUAUUGACUAUAUUAUUUUAGUUAUUAUUAAUUAUUAAUUUUUAUUUUUAUUAAUAUUAUCAUUAUUAACAUUUAUUAUUAUUAAUUUAAUUUUUUUAAUUAAUAGUAUUUUUAUAAUAAUAUUUAUACAUGUAUCUAGUUGAUAAAAAUUACAUUAUUUAAUACUAUGAGUAUUUUGUUAAAUUGAUUCUCAUUUCUAUUCCUUAUUCCCAUUUAUUUUGUCAAGUAAACAUAUCAAUGACAUUCCAGUAAAUUUUCAUUUUUAUUUAUUUUUUACAAGUAAACAUUUCACCUCAUUCACAUUCCUCAUUCUCAUUCUAUAAAAUAAACGCACCAUUAUUUCUUAAUUUUUCAUUUCUGUCAAAUUUCUAAUUCAAUUAGUCACACAAAUAAAAUUACUUACUUGAAAAUCAUUUCCAAGCGUACAAUGAACUUAUUUGUUGGAGCUGGCUAAGUUACAGAUUCUGUAACUUACAGAUCCAACUCAUAUUGCCUGCAUUUGCACAAUUUUUCUCUCUCCUCAGGACACGUGUGUUGCUUCCCAUUGGGUGUGUACGUUACAGAUUCUGUAACGUAGAUUGGUCCCUUAUUUGUAAUGUUGUCUAUUAUUAUAGUUUAUCACUAUUAUUCCUAUCAAUCAGAGACUAUCCGUAGCACGCAACUCCAAACCGAUUUAUUUAAACGUGCUGCCAAACAACACGACUCGCAUAAGAUAAAAUGAAAGAACAAUCAAGAAUCAUCAUUCCAUUAUCCAAUUUUUCUUGCCGUAGCCAGAACGCUUUUCUAAGUAGCGACAUAGGAUAAAUGGAAGAACGAUCAAGCUGAUAUGGCUAUUUUGUCAUUAUUGCUUUUCUUGACUAUCACAUUUAUGUCGAUGCUCCAACUUUCAAUUUCUUCAACAUUUAGCCUUUCUAGAAGCAACAGUACAUACUCUACUGAUGCGACAAAAGGAUUAAAAAAAAAAAAAUGCUCGUUGCGUCACUGCUUAGGCCAUUCUAAAUCUUCAGUUCUCUGUCUGAAGUCUAUCACUUGGUGCAAAAUAGUCAAAUUUUCAACAUUUAGACCAUACGAUAAUCGGACACGUGGAUGAUCCUGUGACUACCACAUUUUUCCAAGUCACGUAGCGGGCCAUUUAUAUUAGUUAAUUCAUUUGUGAAUGUAAUGAGAAAGAACUAAGGCGACGCACACUAGCAGGAGCUGAAACUUUCAGUCUUUCACUGUCUGAAAAGGCCGUUGACCAUUCAAUCUGCGUACGUUCUUUGUUCUCAAAUUUUAUCGUUUGUUUUCAUUUUUCGUUCAUGUCAAGUUUCUGUAUUUGCACACAAUUAAAUGAUCACUCAUUCGCAGGUUUUGCUUUUACCUGACGCUUUUCAAUAGUUUGAUGCACUCUAGUAUUUGUGAUAUAUCUUUCUGCUAGUGCUUGAUGACCCAAGUUGCAUGUGAACGGAUUAGUUAUUCAUUUUACUUUGUUAAUCAGUCAAAUAUCAUAGACCCCAUCUGUUAUUACGGUGGUGAUUGCUAGGAACAGUUGAGAGUCUUGUCAAACUUUUCCAAACAUGUGUCCAAAUAGAUUGAGCUUGUACGUGAGAUAGCUGGAUUUUAUUUGCUUACAAACCUUUUUUGGGAUUAUUUAAAAAUUACAAUUACUGACCUGGUUUCGGAUAUACGAGAGUUGUUUGCUGUUAUCCAAUUUAUUUUGGUUGGAGCACGUUUUAACUGACACAAAGCCGGAAAUACCAGUUCAAUCUCAGUAACCUCUAUAAUUUGUCUCAAAUACGUUGUGUUUAGUUAUUUAUGUUCUUGGAUUUCCAGUUCAUUUAUGGCUUAACUGAUAUAAGAAAGCUGACAGGGAUAUGAGAAAUUUUUCUCAAGGAUGGAAGAUUCUGGUAGCCAUUUUUCUGUUGGGAUUAAGCUUUCCAUACUCACAAGGUUAUAAUGUCAAAUCUAAAGUCUUUUUGUCACCUAAGUUUGUGCUGGGGCCAGGAUCCGUUGAGAAUAAAUUUUACUAUGGGAUUGACUUUCCGAGAGGUCAUAUUGCUCUAAAGAGUUUUGAUGCAGAAGUAAUUGAUGAGGCAGGAAAUCCCAUUCCUCUUCACGAGACUUAUCUCCACCAUUGGCUCGUUGAAAAAUACUAUGGACGUAAAGAUGCAGAAGUACUAGAGUAUAAUGGCAACAGACUUCUUCAUGAAUCAGAUUACAUUUCAGCGAGAAAUGAUGGCAUAUGCCAGAGGAAUUGUCUCGGGCAGUUUUUUGGCCUUGGCUCUGAGACACGAGGAACAGCAACGCAUAUUCCAGAUCCUUAUGGUAUAGAAAUUGGCAAUCCUGCUACAAUUCCUGCAGGCUAUGAAGAGAGAUGGUUUCUUAAUGUCCAUGCAAUUGAUACACGAGGUGUCGAAGAUAGGUUGGGAUGCACCGAAUGCAAGUGCGAUUUGUACAAUGUUACAGUGGAUGAGUAUGGCCAGCUGCUAAGGCCAAAUUACAGAGGUGGUUUUGCGUGUUGUUACGAUGGUACUCAGUGUAGAGUGAAAAAUGGUUUUGAAGGUGCCAGGAGGAGCCUCUAUUUGAGAUAUACCGUAAAGUGGGUUGAUUGGGACACUUCCAUUGUGCCUGUUAAAAUCUACAUAUUUGAUGUCACUGACAAUGAAACACGGUUUAGUGAUUCCACUGGAUUCAGCAUACAGCAUCAUUGCCAGGUAAGUGAAAUUCUUUUUACGAAACUCUCCAAGCUGAAACAGAAAUGAAUUUUAUUUGGGACGCUCAGUGGAAUAGCCUCGGCAUUACUUUCUUCAUCUUUUACGGUUCAUUGAACUAGGUUGUUAUAUAAUCAUUUAAUGCUUGUUUUGGUGCAUUACUGGAAAAAUGGAAUUGGUUCAUUGAUGCAACGAACACAAAGUUGGAAUCUGCAUAAAGCUAAUCGUAAUUUUCUGGAAAACUUUCUUUGGGCUUAGAGUCCUCUUUGACGGCAUACUGUUUAAUAUGUGUGUAUGAAAUGACUUGCGUUGAAGAUAUUUUUUGUUUAAUGUGGAGGAUUUUGUAUUAAAUGUGCACAAAUUUAUAGACAUUCAAGAGCACAUAAGCACAAACACUUACUUCAGCCCUUAAAUUUGAUAAUCAAUAGUGUAAACGUUUUGAUUUGUGAUUUUCUUGCAACUCUUAGUGACUUAAUUUCUUCACAAAUGUGGACCCAUCGGAAUAUCUCUGAUUGCAGACUGAAUAUUCUGUUGAUCCCUGUAAAGCCAAUGAUGUAGCUGAUAAUGGGUGUGUCCACACCAAAAGGACCAGUGUCACGAUGCCAACCAGUGGUUACAUCAUCUAUGGCGUUGCCCAUCAGCACUCAGGGGGCAUUGGUGCAGCUCUAUACAGAGAGGUGAUUUCAAUAUCUAAUUUGCAUUCACGUGGCAUGCCUUUUCUUUUGUCUAUGUUCUACUUUCCAUUGUAAUUUUAUCAUUCUUAUCUGCCAGGUUGGUGGUAAACUGGUGAUGUAUGAAGACGUGUACUAGUUCUUGAUCUUUUUAAUUUUCUUGUUAGAUUAUGCUUUGAAAGUUAAUGUUUCUUUAGUCUGCAAAAGAAUUGUCAGCUAUGACAGAAGUUACUAUUUUUUGCACAUAAAGAAUGUUUUAAGAUUAUGUAAAUGUUUAUAACAUUAAUUAGAUGUUGAGGACACGUGAGUGUGACAUUAUCAUAUUUCCAAAUAGACUAUUUUUGAGCUUCCAGCUGCUUGAUUUGUUUGUCAUCCUCAAAGUUUCGAUAAUAUUGAUGUUUCAUAUAUAGUGUAAUGGUCCCUCAACUUGGUUGGAUGUUUUCCCUUUUUGUUUUGAAGAACAAUUCUUCAUUACUCAUUUUAUGUAAUUUGUUCAGAACCCACUGUGAUGAUUGUGGAAGGAAUUUGAUUCCCUAAUGUCUUCUUUCAUUGAUAUGCUUGUUUUUGGUGAAAUCAGGAUGGACAACUUAUGUGCUCUUCAAUUCCAGCUUAUGGAAAUGGGAUGGAAGCUGGAAACGAGGCUGGAUAUAUUGUAGGAAUGUCGACCUGUUAUCCUAAACCAGGCUCCCUCAGGAUAACAGAUGGGGAAACUCUGAUUGUGGAAUCUAGCUAUAGUAGCUCCCGCGAACACACAGGAGUCAUGGGGCUUUUCUACAUUUUGGUUGCAGACAGGGUGCCCGAGUCCAGUUCAUUCUUAGAUGUUUUCAACAAGGUAAGAUUCCCUUUUCAUAUUUUUAGAUAGUGAGUUCAGCAAUACAAGUUAUUAUGCUUGUGAGCACAUGCGAAAAUACGGCAGAUACAAAAAACUUAUUCUAGAAUUGAGUAGGAAUAUUGUCUUGCCUCUUAGAUUAUCGAAAUGGUAUAGAGAAUGGAUUAUAGACAGUCGUUUGAUUAGUGUUGAUGAGAAGAUUAUUAUUUGCGGGAGUAGAAACUGUUUAAUAUGAUUCUUAGGCGAUAAUAGAACUAUAAUCCUCUUCGUGAUUUUAACAAGAAACACCAAGCAUCUGAUAAGUGAUAACUGCCUGGUUUUUGCAGAUGGACAGUGAUAUAAACCAUUCUGCUUUUGUUUGGGGAGCAUUUGUUUUAGCCGGAGUUGCUGUCAUUGCUGCCGCUGUGGGUUACAGGCGUAGGAAUAAGUACGAAGAUGGAUACCAACCAAUUAUGAUCUGAACUUGUUCUUAUGAGGCUUAGCCAUGUGUAUUAGACAGAAAUAAUGUUAGCUCUGUACCAUAUGUUAUUGAAACUCUCGUUUCCCUUUGCUAGACGAGUGUGAAUAAACCCGGGCGACUCACAGUCUGCUGUGGACCAAUGUGGGUUAUGGUCUAGCCCAAUAUUAAUGCCAUUACUGUUGUUAGUAAUUGGAACUGUGUGAUUUAUGUGA
Molecule: long non-coding RNA, 32288 nt
Filed under: Citrus x clementina
Lineage: Eukaryota; Viridiplantae; Streptophyta; Magnoliopsida; Sapindales; Rutaceae
Description: Citrus clementina (C. clementina) long non-coding RNA (CCLE_LNC003498)
Source: RNAcentral